This 495-nucleotide ribosomal RNA is filed under the name uncultured bacterium. RNAcentral describes it as "partial 16S ribosomal RNA". It matches the Rfam family "Bacterial small subunit ribosomal RNA", at positions 28 to 507 of the family's 1533-position model. The record is from RNAcentral.
GACGAACGCUGGCGGCGUGCCUAAUACAUGCAAGUAGAACGCUGAAGGAGGAGCUUGCUUCUCUGGAUGAGUUGCGAACGGGUGAGUAACGCGUAGGUAACCUGCCUGGUAGCGGGGGAUAACUAUUGGAAACGAUAGCUAAUACCGCAUAAGAGUAGAUGUUGCAUGACAUUUGCUUAAAAGGUGCAAUUGCAUCACUACCAGAUGGACCUGCGUUGUAUUAGCUAGUUGGUGGGGUAACGGCUCACCAAGGCGACGAUACAUAGCCGACCUGAGAGGGUGAUCGGCCACACUGGGACUGAGACACGGCCCAGACUCCUACGGGAGGCAGCAGUAGGGAAUCUUCGGCAAUGGACGGAAGUCUGACCGAGCAACGCCGCGUGAGUGAAGCAGGUUUUCGGAUCGUAAAGCUCUGUUGUAAGAGAAGAACGAGUGUGAGAGUGGAAAGUUCACACUGUGACGGUAUCUUACCAGAAAGGGACGGCUAACUACGUG